RNAcentral lists this ribosomal RNA (435 nucleotides) under uncultured bacterium. RNAcentral describes it as "partial 16S ribosomal RNA". It matches the Rfam family "Bacterial small subunit ribosomal RNA", at positions 29 to 507 of the family's 1533-position model. The record is from RNAcentral.
AGCGAACGCUGGCGGCAGGCUUAACACAUGCAAGUCGAACGGGCAUCUUCGGAUGUCAGUGGCAGACGGGUGAGUAACACGUGGGAACGUACCCUUCGGUUCGGAAUAACUCAGGGAAACUUGAGCUAAUACCGGAUACGCCCUUUUGGGGAAAGGUUUACUGCCGAAGGAUCGGCCCGCGUCUGAUUAGCUUGUUGGUGGGGUAACGGCCUACCAAGGCGACGAUCAGUAGCUGGUCUGAGAGGAUGAUCAGCCACACUGGGACUGAGACACGGCCCAGACUCCUACGGGAGGCAGCAGUGGGGAAUAUUGGACAAUGGGCGCAAGACUGAGCCAGCCAUGCCGCGUGAGUGAUGAAGGCCUUAGGGUUGUAAAGCUCUUUUGUCCGGGACGAUAAUGACGGUACCGGAAGAAUAAGCCCCGGCUAACUUCGUG